UGCCAGACUCCUACGGGAGGCAGCAGUGGGGAAUAUUGCACAAUGGGCGAAAGCCUGAUGCAGCAACGCCGCGUGAGCGAUGAAGGCCUUCGGGUCGUAAAGCUCUGUCCUCAAGGAAGAUAAUGACGGUACUUGAGGAGGAAGCCCCGGCUAACUACGUGCCAGCAGCCGCGGUAAUACGUAGGGGGCUAGCGUUAUCCGGAAUUACUGGGCGUAAAGGGUGCGUAGGUGGUUUCUUAAGUCAGAGGUGAAAGGCUACGGCUCAACCGUAGUAAGCCUUUGAAACUGGGGAACUUGAGUGCAGGAGAGGAGAGUGGAAUUCCUAGUGUAGCGGUGAAAUGCGUAGAUAUCAGGAGGAACACCGGCGGCGAAGGCGGCCUGCUGGACCGUGACUGACGUUGAGGCUCGAGAGCGUGGGGAGCAAACAGGAUUAGAUACCCGGGUA
Molecule: ribosomal RNA, 445 nt
Filed under: uncultured bacterium
Lineage: Bacteria
Description: partial 16S ribosomal RNA
Rfam family: Bacterial small subunit ribosomal RNA
Source: RNAcentral